This 191-nucleotide ribosomal RNA is filed under the name uncultured bacterium. Its description in RNAcentral is "partial 16S ribosomal RNA". It matches the Rfam family "Bacterial small subunit ribosomal RNA", at positions 1309 to 1500 of the family's 1533-position model. The record is from RNAcentral.
AACCCGCCUGCGUGAAGUUGGAAUCGCUAGUAAUCGCGGAUCAGCAUGCCGCGGUGAAUACGUUCCCGGGCCUUGUACACACCGCCCGUCACACCAUGAGAGUCGGGAACACCCGAAGUCCGUAGCCUAACCGCAAGGGGGCGCGGCCGAAGGUGGGUUCGAUAAUUGGGGUGAAGUCGUAACAAGGUACC